Long non-coding RNA from Triticum aestivum (bread wheat), 788 nucleotides. RefSeq lists it as uncharacterized. The record is from RefSeq and is a predicted model, not a curated record. Lineage: Eukaryota; Viridiplantae; Streptophyta; Magnoliopsida; Poales; Poaceae. The transcript has 2 exons.
CUUGGCGUUGACUGAAUCCCUCGUCUCCUUCCUCAUCCCUGAUCGCAGGUGCGUCCGUUCUCGGCAGCCGUUUCCGUCGGCUAUGCAUGCCACCGGCUGCCAUCGACGUGUACCUUCGGCCGCCUCCCGCACCGGAUCUGCAGGUGUGCCGCUAGAUCCCCGCCACCCGCGCUGCCCCACGAGCUCCUGCUCCACGAGGCGCCAACAUUCUGGAGGAACACGCCGUGAGGGCCAAGGCGGUCGCCGAGGACGGGGGCGGUGGCGCCCAGCCGGCCUCCUCGUCUGGCGCCAUGUUUGACGGGAUCCUUGGGGCUCACCUCGAGCUGGUGUGCUUUUACAGGUGUUGUCCUGGGUUCUCAUGCUUCUCCACAUUCUUAUUUCUUCAGGAAUUGAAGUGUGUGGUAGUUUUAGCUGGAUAAUCCUCUGAGUGGCGUGCAGGCUCAAUGGGAAGAUCCAACAAGUCCGUUCAGGUAGGACAUGAGAAGAUGUUCAGGCCUGAGAAGUUGGAGAGGCUUGGGUGAAAGUUUAGGACGAUGGAGGAGACGCGUCGAGUCCUAUAUGUGUGCAGGCAUACCGAGCUGAGCUUGGCCAUGCUGUCGGAUUGGGCAGAAAAAUAGGCGAGACUGCAUCAUUUUUGCUGUCAAGGACGCGAAAAUAACUUCAUAGUCAAUCCUACUUUCGAUUGGACCAGUUGACGUUGUGUUUUGUAGGUGCAUCUGUAAAAAUGAAAGUAACAUGAUAAUUUUUGUGUGUAAAUAAUAUGAUUUUUUAAGCAUCGUAUGCUUACG